RNAcentral lists this ribosomal RNA (344 nucleotides) under uncultured Ustilago. Its description in RNAcentral is "SSU rRNA". It matches the Rfam family "Eukaryotic small subunit ribosomal RNA", at positions 20 to 370 of the family's 1831-position model. The record is from RNAcentral. Lineage: Eukaryota; Fungi; Basidiomycota; Ustilaginomycetes; Ustilaginales; Ustilaginaceae.
GUAGUCAUAUGCUUGUCUCAAAGAUUAAGCCAUGCAUGUCUAAGUAUACGCAAAUUAUACUGUGAAACUGCGAAUGGCUCAUUAAAUCAGUUAUAGUUUAUUUGAUGUUUCUUGCUACAUGGACAACUGUGGUAAUUCUAGAGCUAAUACAUGCGUAAAAAGCCCCGACUUCUGGAAGGGGUGUAUUUAUUAGAUAAAAACCAUCCUCCUCGGAGUUUGGUGAUUCAUAAUAACUUCUCGAAUCGCACGGCCUUGUGCUGGCGAUGCUUCAUUCAAAUAUCUGCCCUAUCAACUGUCGAUGGUAGGAUAGAGGCCUACCAUGGUUGCAACGGGUAACGGGGAAU